AUUGAACGCUGGCGGCAGGCCUAACACAUGCAAGUCGAACGGUAACAGGAAGCAGCUUGCUGCUUCGCUGACGAGUGGCGGACGGGUGAGUAAUGUCUGGGAAGCUGCCUGAUGGAGGGGGAUAACUACUGGAAACGGUAGCUAAUACCGCAUAAUGUCGCAAGACCAAAGAGGGGGACCUUCGGGCCUCUUGCCAUCGGAUGUGCCCAGAUGGGAUUAGCUUGUUGGUGGGGUAACGGCUCACCAAGGCGACGAUCCCUAGCUGGUCUGAGAGGAUGACCAGCCACACUGGAACUGAGACACGGUCCAGACUCCUACGGGAGGCAGCAGUGGGGAAUAUUGCACAAUGGGCGCAAGCCUGAGGCAGCCAUGCCGCGUGUAUGAAGAAGGCCUUCGGGUUGUAAAGUACUUUCAGCGGGGAGGAAGGGAGUAAAGUUAAUACCUUUGCUCAUUGACGUUACCCGCAGAAGAAGCACCGGCUAACUCCGU
RNAcentral lists this ribosomal RNA (489 nucleotides) under uncultured bacterium. Its description in RNAcentral is "partial 16S ribosomal RNA". It matches the Rfam family "Bacterial small subunit ribosomal RNA", at positions 30 to 506 of the family's 1533-position model. The record is from RNAcentral.